CUACGGAAGGCAGCAGUGGGGAAUAUUGCACAAUGGGGGAAACCCUGAUGCAGCAACGCCGCGAGAGUGAUGACGGUCUUCGGAUUGUAAAGCUCUGUCUUCAGGGACGAUAAUGACGGUACCUGAGGAGGAAGCCACGGCUAACUACGUGCCAGCAGCCGCGGUAAUACGUAGGUGGCAAGCGUUGUCCGGAUUUACUGGGCGUAAAGGGAGCGUAGGUGGAUAUUUAAGUGGGAUGUGAAAUACUCGGGCUUAACCUGGGUGCUGCAUUCCAAACUGGAUAUCUAGAGUGCAGGAGAGGAAAGUAGAAUUCAUAGUGUAGCGGUGAAAUGCGUAGAGAUUAGGAAGAAUACCAGUGGCGAAGGCGACUUUCUGGACUGUAACUGACACUGAGGCUCGAAAGCGUGGGGAGCAAACAGGAUUAGAUACCCCGGUAGU
Molecule: ribosomal RNA, 438 nt
Filed under: uncultured bacterium
Lineage: Bacteria
Description: bacterial SSU rRNA
Rfam family: Bacterial small subunit ribosomal RNA
Source: RNAcentral